ACUGAAUCCAGGAAAGUUCAGAUUGCCUGUGGAAGAGAGAAGGGAUCUUGAUCUAUGUUCCCUAGAUGGAUUUCACAACUAAGUUAAUCAGUAAAAAGUGAAGAAUGCACCAAAGACCAGCACAAGCCUUCUGCACCCUCAACAUGGGUCUUGAGACGGUCUUCUUAACACACAGGAAACAGAAGAAAGAACCUGAAACCAAACCUGCUUGUAUCUGUUAUCACUGUAUAUCAAUGCCAGCAUGAGUUCACUUGUUACUUGAAAGCAGCACUGCAAGAAAACUAUGCUCAAUCCUUAAACAUGUGGUCCCUGGAGGAGGGAACAUGCCAGACAGUGAUGGGAGAUAUUUACUACUCAUCCCAAAAGACAAACUCUCUGAUUCUGGUCGGUAAAUUCCUUUUUCAAUACUUAAAGAAUUAAUAAUUUUGAUUUACAUCAUAUAUUUAACUAUACUUGUCUUUUAUUUAUGUUCUUUAUUUAUGUUCGUCAUUUUAAAUAUUUUCUGCCACGUGUUGAACUCACCUAAGUUGAGGGCUGUAGGUGUUUUCUCUGUUUGGUAAUGCUUGCUUGUACUAGCUGUGUGUAAGACUGUUGCAAAUAAUAAAUGAAUAAGAA
Meleagris gallopavo (turkey) is the source of this 615-nucleotide non-coding RNA. The record is from RefSeq and is a predicted model, not a curated record. Lineage: Eukaryota; Metazoa; Chordata; Aves; Galliformes; Phasianidae.